UAUGGAUCCGUUUGUGUCGUCCAAGCUCAUCACAGCGGAAGAACUUCCACGUUCCAGUCACAUGCGAAGGGCUUCACACUUGAACUUGCGACUGGCAUCACGUGGGAUCCCCUCCCAAUCGAUCGCUGACAAUAAUUCUGGGAAGGUAUAGGGGCCAGCUGGGAGGAGCACCUCACACCAUGCUCAGGCAGCGACCUAAUGAGCUGUGAUUCCCAUUCUCUCUCAUUGCAUCUGAGCUCCUCAGCUGAUGCCAUAGAGGACCUCAUCAUCUCUGGACAUUUUGAAGAAGCUAGUCAACUCUUAAAAAUGGCCGAUUUACCGUCUUAGAGGUUUCUUUACUCCACAGUAAUUUAUUGCACACAACGAUGAUGUAUAAUAUAUCUGGCUUAUUAAGCAUGAACAAGCCAUGUUUCAGGACUAUUAUGGAUAUACAAAAUUCUUAAGGAAAAUGGCAUUUGGAGUUCAAGAUAUGAGAACUGGGUGUCAUCUGCUAUGCUCCAUCUGCAACAACGUGAGUAGCAGCUAUGAAGCCAACUGGGAAAGAGAUGAGCAGACUGUCAGAACUUUCAUCUUUAAUAUUUAUCACCAGAUGUACAUGUAAAAACACCUGUUUCUGGACACAUUUGUUGUAUGAGUCACGGUGUAGUCAUGGCUCCCAUGAGCCUUUGCAAACUAAAGCUGAAAUGAUAAC
Molecule: long non-coding RNA, 691 nt
Filed under: Mus spicilegus (steppe mouse)
Lineage: Eukaryota; Metazoa; Chordata; Mammalia; Rodentia; Muridae
Description: lncRNA (ENSMSIG00000007987.1)
Source: RNAcentral